This 253-nucleotide ribosomal RNA is filed under the name uncultured bacterium. RNAcentral's name for it is "partial 16S ribosomal RNA". It matches the Rfam family "Bacterial small subunit ribosomal RNA", at positions 524 to 776 of the family's 1533-position model. The record is from RNAcentral.
UACGGGGGGGGCAAGCGUUGUUCGGAAUUACUGGGCGUAAAGGGCUCGUAGGUGGCCAACUAAGUCAGACGUGAAAUCCCUCAGCUUAACUGGGGAACUGCGUCUGAUACUGGAUGGCUUGAGUUUGGGAGAGGGAUGCGGAAUUCCAGGUGUAGCGGUGAAAUGCGUAGAUAUCUGGAGGAACACCGGUGGCGAAGGCGGCAUCCUGGACCGAGAUUGACGCUGAGGCGCGAAAGCGUGGGGAGCAAACAGG